RNAcentral lists this ribosomal RNA (253 nucleotides) under uncultured bacterium. RNAcentral describes it as "partial 16S ribosomal RNA". It matches the Rfam family "Bacterial small subunit ribosomal RNA", at positions 524 to 776 of the family's 1533-position model. The record is from RNAcentral. RNAcentral also lists the same sequence under 1 other name.
UACGUAGGGACCAAGCGUUGUUCGGAUUUACUGGGCGUAAAGGGCGCGUAGGCGGCAAUUCAAGUCAGUUGUGAAAUCUCCGAGCUUAACUCGGAACGGUCAACUGAUACUGUUUUGCUAGAGUACAGAAGGGGCAAUCGGAAUUCUUGGUGUAGCGGUGAAAUGCGUAGAUAUCAAGAGGAACACCUGAGGUGAAGACGGGUUGCUGGGCUGAUACUGACGCUGAGGCGCGAAAGCUAGGGUAGCAAACGGG